RNA transcript from Sciurus carolinensis (gray squirrel), 1463 nucleotides. It is a transcript of the gene named isocitrate dehydrogenase (NAD(+)) 3 non-catalytic subunit beta, with no coding region annotated. The record is from RefSeq and is a predicted model, not a curated record. NCBI's taxonomy places the organism in Eukaryota, Metazoa, Chordata, Mammalia, Rodentia, Sciuridae. The transcript is spliced from 13 exons.
CGCCAGCUUCCGGCGUCACUUCCGGCGCGCCGUCCGGCGACGAGCAUGGCGACAUUGAGCUGUGUCCGCUGGCUGACCCGAGCGGUGGUCUCCGCCCGAAAUCCUGGGGCAUGGCGAGGUCUGAGUACCUCUGCUACUGCUCAGGCCGCGACGCCGAGCCAGGCCCAAGACUUGAGGGUGGAGGGAGCCUUUCCAGUGACGAUGCUGCCUGGAGAUGGCGUGGGUCCGGAGCUCAUGCACGCGGUCAAGGAGGUGUUCAAGGCUGCCGCUGUCCCGGUGGAGUUCCAGGAGCACCACCUGAGUGAGGUGCAGAAUAUGGCCUCUGAGGAGAAGCUGGAGCAGGUGCUGAGUUCUAUGAAGGAGAACAAGGUGGCUAUCAUUGGAAAGAUCCAUACCCCAAUGGAGUAUAAAGGGGAACUAGCUUCCUAUGAUAUGCGACUGAGGCGUAAGUUGGACUUGUUUGCCAAUGUAGUCCACGUGAAGUCACUUCCUGGGUACAAGACCCGGCACAACAAUCUAGACCUGGUGAUCAUUCGUGAGCAGACAGAAGGAGAGUAUAGCUCUUUGGAACACGAGAGUGCAAGGGGUGUGAUUGAAUGCUUGAAGAUUGUCACUCGAACCAAGUCUCAGCGGAUUGCAAAGUUUGCCUUUGACUACGCCACCAAGAAGGGGCGGGGCAAGGUCACAGCUGUCCACAAGGCUAACAUCAUGAAACUUGGGGAUGGAUUGUUCCUGCAGUGCUGUGAGGAAGUUGCUGAACUGUACCCCAAAAUCAAGUUUGAGACAAUGAUCAUAGACAAUUGCUGCAUGCAGCUCGUGCAGAAUCCCUACCAGUUCGAUGUGCUUGUGAUGCCCAAUCUCUAUGGCAACAUUAUCGACAAUCUGGCUGCUGGCCUGGUUGGGGGUGCUGGUGUGGUCCCUGGUGAGAGCUACAGUGCAGAGUAUGCAGUGUUUGAGACGGGUGCCCGGCACCCAUUUGCUCAGGCAGUGGGCAGGAAUAUAGCCAACCCCACAGCUAUGCUGCUGUCAGCUUCCAACAUGCUGCGGCAUCUCAAUCUUGAGUAUCACUCCAGCAUGAUCGCUGAUGCGGUAAAGAAGGUGAUCAAAGUUGGCAAGGUACGGACUCGAGACAUGGGCGGCUACAGCACCACAACCGACUUCAUCAAGUCUGUCAUCGGCCAUCUGCACCCCCAUGGGGGCUAGAGCCCUUUAUUCCCUCCAACCUCACAAGGACCAUACUACCUACACAUCCCUUCAGUACAGUGGACCAGGGAAGAGACCUUGAACCUCUAGACAGUGGACCAUAAUUGCUUUUUCUGGGCAGAGCCUAGGUUGUCCUGGGUGGGGCUGGCUUCCUUAGGGAGCUCUGUACUGGGUGGUGGUGGUGGUUGUUAGGGAUGGGGGCCUAGGCCACAGGAUGAUGACACUUCUCCCCACAGGUUCGAACCUCUGACAUGGGCGGC